RNAcentral lists this small RNA (66 nucleotides) under Histoplasma capsulatum var. duboisii H88. Its description in RNAcentral is "Histoplasma capsulatum H88 hypothetical RNA". Lineage: Eukaryota; Fungi; Ascomycota; Eurotiomycetes; Onygenales; Ajellomycetaceae. The record is from RNAcentral.
UUUGCCUCGAAGCUGGAGUGAUACGAAUGAAGAAGCUGUGACUGUCACAACAACUGUUCUCCCCAA